This is a long non-coding RNA of Condylura cristata (star-nosed mole), 238 nucleotides long. RefSeq lists it as uncharacterized. Lineage: Eukaryota; Metazoa; Chordata; Mammalia; Eulipotyphla; Talpidae. The record is from RefSeq and is a predicted model, not a curated record. The transcript has 3 exons.
GCUGCCCCUAAAGAAUUCCUUUUCUUCUGCUGACCCUGGCACAAAGACAGUCAUAUGUCCAAGAGUGAAAACACAUAUAUUCAACCCUCCUUGGGUCUGCUUUUACAGACCAGCUAUGAGAGAUGAUCUUUGAAGAUUUUGCUGUGGUCACAGUUAUACAGAAAAUCUCACCUUGACAUGAUCCUGGGAAAAUUUGCUUCAGUAACUUCCAGCAACAGGAAGACACAGAAACUCAAAG